RNAcentral lists this small nuclear RNA (302 nucleotides) under Sorex araneus (European shrew). Its description in RNAcentral is "7SK RNA (ENSSARG00000015165.1)". It matches the Rfam family "7SK RNA". Rfam says of the family: 7SK was discovered as an abundant small nuclear RNA in the mid-70s but a possible function has only recently been suggested. Two independent studies have found that 7SK RNA binds the CDK9/cyclin T complex (known as elongation factor P-TEFb). The record is from RNAcentral. Lineage: Eukaryota; Metazoa; Chordata; Mammalia; Eulipotyphla; Soricidae.
GGAUGAGAGGGCGAUCUGGCUGCGACAUCUGUCACCCCAUUGAUCGCCAGGGUUGAUUCGGCUGAUCUGGCUGGCUCGGCAGUUGUCCCCUUCCUCCCUCACCACUCCAGGUGCGUCCCUCCCGAAGCUGCAUGCUAGGUCAAAGAGGACGGCCUUCGCCAAAUAAUCGAGACGGACUGGUCUUCAGUCGAGGGUAUACGAGUAGCUGCGCUCCCCUGCUAGAACCUGCUGUAUUAGCUUUCAGUACUGUUUGGAGAUUUCUUUUCCUAAUUUUCAUUUUUAUCUACAUUCUAAGUAUCUGU